Molecule: non-coding RNA, 627 nt
Organism: Podarcis muralis (Common wall lizard)
Lineage: Eukaryota; Metazoa; Chordata; Lepidosauria; Squamata; Lacertidae
Source: RefSeq, a predicted model, not a curated record
CUCUCUCUCUCUCUCUCUGUCAAUCAAGUUGCCUCUCACCCGCCUUUCCUCUAAACUAGACAUCCCCAAACGCCACAUAGGAAAGCCGGCCACCCCCUUGGUCAUUUCGGCGGCCCUUUGCUGAAACUUUUUCCAGCUCUACAAAUAUCCUUUUUGAGGAGGCGACCAGGACUGGAGACUGUGCCCCAAAUGCAGUCACACCGUAGAUUUCUAUGAAGGCAUCAUGGUAUUUGCAGUUUUAUUUUCCACUCCUUUCCUAACGAUCCCUGGUGUGAAGUUUGUCUUUUUUCACAGCCACCACACACUGGGUCUACGGCUUCACUGAGCUGCCUGCUGCAACCCCCAAGGACUCACUCCUGGUCCAUCUCUACCCAUCCAGAUUCCAGGAGUACUUCUAAAAGAGAAAUUGAAGCAGUGGAGAUGUUCAGAAAAUACCUUGCCACGGUGAGCAGCAAGUUUCAUAGGAAACUCACAACUCUGGUCAGCGACAGUGGAGGUAGACAGUGGAGGAUAGAACUCCAACCAAUGGCUCCAAGUUACAAGGAAUGAGAUUCUGACUAAACAUCAGGCAGAACUUCUGAAGAGCUCUCUGGGCAGGAUCCAGCAACGCCCACUCCUCAGCCAUGA